CACGUAGGGGACGAGCGUUGUCCGGAUUCAUUGGGCGUAAAGCGCGCGUAGGCGGCCCUCUAAGUCAGACGUGAAAUCCCUCGGCUCGACCGGGGAACUGCGUCUGAGACUGGAAGGCUUGAAUUCGGGAGAGGGAUGUGGAAUUCCAGGUGUAGCGGUGAAAUGCGUAGAUAUCUGGAGGAACACCGGUGGCGAAGGCGGCAUCCUGGACCGAGAUUGACGCUGAUGCGCGAAAGCCAGGGGAGCAAACGGG
RNAcentral lists this ribosomal RNA (253 nucleotides) under uncultured bacterium. RNAcentral's name for it is "partial 16S ribosomal RNA". It matches the Rfam family "Bacterial small subunit ribosomal RNA", at positions 524 to 776 of the family's 1533-position model. The record is from RNAcentral.